Myzus persicae (green peach aphid) is the source of this 647-nucleotide long non-coding RNA. RefSeq lists it as uncharacterized. Lineage: Eukaryota; Metazoa; Arthropoda; Insecta; Hemiptera; Aphididae. The transcript has 2 exons. The record is from RefSeq and is a predicted model, not a curated record.
GGCUUUCUCUUAAAAAUAAAACAAUACACUAAGUAUUCUAUUAUAUUAUAAUUUAAACAAUUUAAAGGGGUGUCAACCGAAUUUUCAUAAAUCUAAUUGUAUUAUCUGAUUAUUCACAAUAUUAAUUGUUUAUGGAAAAACCUAAAUAAUGAUUUUGAAAUAUGUAUUUUUUGACAUGCAUAACUAUCUACGUAUAGUUAUAAAAUUUAUAAUAACAGCCAUUUAAAUUUAAAAGAAUAAUAUAAACAAAUGUAUUUGUUUUUUUUGGCAGAUUAUCAAGUUUUCCAAAAUGUUCAUACAGUCCUGCAGUUAACUGAUAUAAGUUAUAUUCUUGAUAAUGCACUGAAAAGCAGUCUUUUUGUCAAAAUUGAAAUGCAUGACGUUUUGAAGAACCACCUUAAUCUAAUUAUAGGUAUAAGCAAUGACCAUUAAACAAAACAAUUUAUGAAAUAUCUAUUAUUUAGCUUAUAUUUUAUUAGAGUUUUGACUAAAAAUUCAGCCACAAUAUCUAGUCCAUAGUUUGUAAGCCGUGUGCCUGUACAAAAUUAAGAAACUUUACCUAAUUAUGUAUUUGUGAAAACUUUAUAUACGUGUAAAUCAAAUGUAAUCAAUUUACAAGCUUAUUAAAAAAAAUUCUUCCGAUUAAA